ACUCGCUGCUUCAUUCAUCCAUCCAUCCAUUCAUCCAUUGAUGCGCUCAUCGCCGUCCGGUCGCUGCCCUGCUGCUGCUGCUGCUUCUUCUUCUUCUUCUUCUUCUUCUUCACGCCUCACUCUGUCGCUUCUUCCUCUGCAGCGUACGUGCUGGUGCUGCAAAAGGAAAGGAGCCGCGGCUCCAUCCAUCCAUCCAUCCAUCCAUGCAAGUCGUCUUCCUGCCGACCGGCCUGCCUGCCUCUAGUACAUUCGGGAUCGAUCGA
Molecule: non-coding RNA, 263 nt
Filed under: Zea mays
Lineage: Eukaryota; Viridiplantae; Streptophyta; Magnoliopsida; Poales; Poaceae
Source: RNAcentral